This 309-nucleotide ribosomal RNA is filed under the name uncultured archaeon. RNAcentral describes it as "bacterial SSU rRNA". It matches the Rfam family "Archaeal small subunit ribosomal RNA", at positions 526 to 834 of the family's 1478-position model. The record is from RNAcentral.
AGGCUUUGCAAAUACUUCGUGAAAUCAACAUGCUCAACAUGUUGAAUGGCGGAGUACACUACAGAGCUAGAGACUGGGAGGCGUUAGAGGUAUUCUUGAGGGAGCGGUAAAAUGCUAUAAUCUCAAGAGGACCGCCUAUGGCGAAAGCAUCUAACGAGAACAGAUCUGACUGUGAGGGACGAAAGCCAGGGGAGCAAACCGGAUUAGAUACCCGAGUAGUCCUGGCCAUAAACGUUGUGGACAAGGCAUAGUAUAUCCCACGAGGAUACGCUGUGGCGAAGAGAAGUCAUUAAGUCCACCGCCUGGGAA